AGCUCCAAUAGUGUAUACUAAUGUUGCUGCAGUUAAAAAGCUCGUAGUCGAAUUUCUGAUCCGUCAAACUCGCGCGGUUCUUCAAAGAAGAAUCUGUCGUGAAUUGUUUGUGGGUCAUCAUUCUGGAGAGUACUUCUGCCCUUGAUUGGGUUGGUUGUACAAUCCAGAGCAUUUACUGUGAGCAAAUGGGAGUGUUCAAAGCAAGCUUUAUGCAUGCCUGAACCGUUUAGCAUGGAAUAAUGAAAUAUAACUCUGAUUAUAUUUCGUUGGCUUAUAAAAUUAGAGUAAUGAUUGAAAGGGAUAGUUGGGGGUGCUCAUAUUCAGGGGGUAGCGGUGAAAUGCAUUGAUCCUCUGAAGAUGAACUAAUGCGAAAGCAUUCACCAAGGAUAUCUUCU
Molecule: ribosomal RNA, 395 nt
Filed under: uncultured eukaryote
Lineage: Eukaryota
Description: SSU rRNA
Rfam family: Eukaryotic small subunit ribosomal RNA
Source: RNAcentral